UUAGCAAUUUGUAAUGGCUGGCCAGAUUGUUGGUCUCUCGAGUUAUAAGACACAUAGGUCUUGACAGAUAAAGAAUGACAUGGUGAACACGUAGGCUGUACGCAACUACCAGGUGGCGGUCGGAUCGGGCAACACAUAAUCACCAUGGGCGAUACGUGGCUGAAUGGUCGACCACUUGAACCCCCUUAAUUGGUGCAGUCAGCCAACAUGGGCAUCAGGUGUGGUGAACAUCACUCCAUGCCUUCACCCAAAAUGCCACACAUUCCCUUCAUGUUGCUGGCAAGACAUUAUAGAAGAUUGUGAGAUCAGUAAAUCUCUGCCAUUGAGAUUCUUAUGGACAUACUCUUCUCUUUGUAUACUAAUUGGUAUUGUCUAAUAUUCUGUCUGCCAUUUCUUCCACAUUUAUGCAUACCAGAAGAUGUUUCCAGUGCCAAUGACUUCUGACAAGUUUGGUUGGCCCAGUAGAUUAUGGCACAAGAGAAAAGUGGAUGAUGGUGGACAGUUCAUCUCAAGUGUCUUCUGCUGAAGAGGAAAUCUGAGUAUGGCUGUCGCAACAAUUUCCGCAGGAAGACUACUAGUACUUUAGCUAGAAAAGGUGCUGGUAACUUUUAGCUGGCACUCUCAGAUCAUCGGUGAUUGCAACCAUCAUUGUCGUUCAAGCCAUGAGCUGGAACCUUGUAUUGCUUUUUCUGGGUUUUCGAUUGGGUUCUCAAUCUGAAGUGGCAACUAUUAGAGUGAUUACUGGAUCAGGCAAUCCUAGCUUUGUGGAUCUCAUUCAGUUUUUGAGUGGGAAGGAGGUGCAUGAGGUCUUCCUUUUGCUGAGAUUUUGUACACAGUGGACCAUCAUUUACUGCUGAUGUCUUUGUUCCAGAAUUUUAGGUUAUACAAAAAUGGGAUUCAAAUAAACCCAUCGCUUUGUAUGUAAUGAAACAAUAUGGAUGUAAUGCAGAGUUAGAUGACAUUGUGAAUAAUGCUCUAUAAAUGACCUCAUGAGAUGGAAAAA
This 1003-nucleotide long non-coding RNA is filed under the name Musa acuminata (dwarf banana). Its description in RNAcentral is "long non-coding RNA (MACU_LNC009188)". The record is from RNAcentral. Lineage: Eukaryota; Viridiplantae; Streptophyta; Magnoliopsida; Zingiberales; Musaceae.